UACGUAGGUGGCAAGCGUUGUCCGGAAUUACUGGGCGAAAAGGGUGCGUAGGCGGAUAUUUAAGGAGAAAGUGAAAGGUUGGAGCUCAACUCCAACAUUGCUUCCUAUACUGGAUGUCUUGAGUUUCGGAGAGGAAGAUGGAACGACACGUGUGGCGGUGAAAUGCGUUGAUAUGUGUCGGAACACCAAUAGCGAAGGCAAUCUUCUGGACGAAUGCUGACGCUGAGGCACGAAAGCCAAGGUAGCGAACAGG
Molecule: ribosomal RNA, 253 nt
Filed under: uncultured bacterium
Lineage: Bacteria
Description: partial 16S ribosomal RNA
Rfam family: Bacterial small subunit ribosomal RNA
Source: RNAcentral